AAGCCAUGCAACGGACAUUUUCUAAUUAACUCCUUGAAUCACUCUUAUGCUUCAUAUAAUAUUUCAUCCUCAAAUUAUCGAAAGGACAUAAUAUCGUUCCUUAUUUU
This is a small nucleolar RNA of Gossypium raimondii (Peruvian cotton), 107 nucleotides long. It matches the Rfam family "Plant small nucleolar RNA R71". From Rfam's summary of the family: R71 is a member of the C/D box family of snoRNAs containing the C (UGAUGA) and D (CUGA) box motifs. Multiple nearly identical copies of this snoRNA have been identified in Arabidopsis, and it is thought to function as a 2'-O-ribose methylation guide for 18S ribosomal RNA. Lineage: Eukaryota; Viridiplantae; Streptophyta; Magnoliopsida; Malvales; Malvaceae. The record is from Rfam.